RNAcentral lists this ribosomal RNA (466 nucleotides) under uncultured bacterium. RNAcentral's name for it is "partial 16S ribosomal RNA". It matches the Rfam family "Bacterial small subunit ribosomal RNA", at positions 30 to 507 of the family's 1533-position model. The record is from RNAcentral.
CGAACGCUGGCGGCGUGCUUAACACAUGCAAGUCGAACGGAAAGGCCCUGCUUUUGUGGGGUGCUCGAGUGGCGAACGGGUGAGUAACACGUGAGUAACCUGCCCUUGACUUUGGGAUAACUUCAGGAAACUGGGGCUAAUACCGGAUAGGAGCUCCUGCUGCAUGGUGGGGGUUGGAAAGUUUCGGCGGUUGGGGAUGGACUCGCGGCUUAUCAGCUUGUUGGUGGGGUAGUGGCUUACCAAGGCUUUGACGGGUAGCCGGCCUGAGAGGGUGACCGGCCACAUUGGGACUGAGAUACGGCCCAGACUCCUACGGGAGGCAGCAGUGGGGAAUAUUGCACAAUGGGCGGAAGCCUGAUGCAGCAACGCCGCGUGCGGGAUGACGGCCUUCGGGUUGUAAACCGCUUUCGCCUGUGACGAAGCGUGAGUGACGGUAAUGGAUAAAGAAGCACCGGCUAACUACGUG